RNAcentral lists this transfer RNA (64 nucleotides) under Coptotettix longtanensis. RNAcentral's name for it is "tRNA-Leu". It matches the Rfam family "tRNA". From Rfam's summary of the family: Transfer RNA (tRNA) molecules are approximately 80 nucleotides in length. The record is from RNAcentral. Lineage: Eukaryota; Metazoa; Arthropoda; Insecta; Orthoptera; Tetrigidae. RNAcentral also lists the same sequence under 1 other name.
UCUAAUAUGGCAGAAUAGUGCAGUGAACUUAAGAUUCAAAAAUAAAGGACCCCUUUUAUUAGAA